AUGACCGUGACGCUGCAGGAUAUUGCUAUGAUCACCGACGGUCUUCCUAUCGAUGGCAAUCCUUUAUGUAUGAACACCGAUACUGAUGGGUGGCGCGCGCAGAUGCAAGCCCUUAUCGGUAUGGUUCCUCCGGAGCCUCGGGAACCAGAAGCAGAAGAUAAGAAGAAGGAAAGAGUCGCAGACAAUGUUUGCUGA
RNAcentral lists this ribosomal RNA (195 nucleotides) under Triticum aestivum (bread wheat). RNAcentral's name for it is "partial small subunit ribosomal RNA". The record is from RNAcentral. Lineage: Eukaryota; Viridiplantae; Streptophyta; Magnoliopsida; Poales; Poaceae.